AAUAAAUAAAUGUUUAAAAAAAUUUUUAAAAAUAAUGUCCUAAGAAAAAUUCCUGCCUCACAAUAAAAUUUUGGCAGAUUAUUGGUCCCAGAACUGAGUUCAUUUAAAUUAAGAAACAAGAACAGUGUUUACAGGAAAAUGCUAGAAUAAGAUUAGAUUUAAAAAAUCUUAAUGAUAAAGCAAAAAAUUAUAUGACCUCAAGUUCAAAGCAGAAGUGCAAGAAUCCAAGGCAGAUAUGGUAGAUAACAGAGAAAGACAGCACAUGAGUUAGCAAAGCACAGGAAAGAAGUAAGAGAAAAAAAUAAAAUCUCAGGUAUAAAGCCCACAUUAGGAGCAACACAAAAACUAUCCCCACUGAAAACAUGAUAGGAUUGAAAAGGAAGUGAAAAAAAAAAAAAAGGAAUGAAGGAGUAAAAAAAAAAGACAAAGGUUAACAGGAAAAAAAUUUAAAAAGAGAUCUAAUACAAUCAGCUUGCUAAGCUUGAGAACUAAAAUAGGAGAAAAAAGAAUUCACAUAAUCAAGAAAUUUGUUAAGUACAGCUUUUUGUCUAUAGAUUGAGAAAGGACACAAUUUCUCAGCGGGGGUGGGGGUGGGGGAGAGUACUACACAUAUCCUAGGAAUUCCACAAGACUUUUUUAAAAAAAGUUCUUUUUUAUUAGAUAGUUAAAAGCACAAUUUAAAUGUCCAAUAACAGGAAAGUAUUGAAGGUAAUUUGGUUUAUCCAUAAAAUGGAAUACCAUGCAGCAGUUAGAUAGGAAAUUUAUGUGUGAAUAUGGAAAAAUCUCCAAGAUAUUUUGGAAUAAAUCAAUGUGCAUAAUAUUAUAGAUGGAUUAUGAUUUCUAUUUAAAGACAACAUGCAUGGGAUAUCUGCUUGGAUGUACUUAGAUUAUCUCUGGAAGCACAUCUAAGAAGAGUAGCAGUGAAUGUCUCUAAGGAACUAGAUGGCUGUGAUAAAAAUGUGGGACUGGGGUGGCACCUGGGUGGCUCAGUUGGUUAAGCAUCUGACUGUUGGUUUUGGCAAAGGUCAUGAUCUUUUGGUUGGUAAGUUCAAGCCCCACAUCGAGCUCUGUGCUAACAGUAUGCGGCCUGCUUGGGAUUCUCUCUCUCUCUCUCUCUCUCUCUCUCUCUCUCUCUCUCUCUCUCCCCUUAUCUCUCUGCGGGACUGUGAAUUAUUUUGUAUGUUCUUUGAGUCCCUUUUAUACCUUGCAUCAUGUGCAUAUAUUAUCUAUUCAAAACAAAUAAUAACAUGUACUUUUAAAAAGGUAGCCAGUCUGUUGUUUAAUUAUUGUCAGGGGGAAAAAAAAUGCAACCACAAUAAAUACCCAUACUGUUCCUUUGGGCAGACAUUGUUCAGCAAUAUAAUGGAAUGAUGUUAAAUAAUUCCAUCUGACCUGUUAAUACCUUCUACUACUUAGAGCAUCAUUUUGCUAUGGACUAAUCCUGGAGGACUCCUGAAGGCAGUGCUAGUCAAAAUUCUACACUGGGCAAGAGAUUUACUAAAGUUCCUCAAUAUCUUCAAAUAACCAGUAACAACUGCCUUUAACAUUUCCAUGCCAAAAAUGACUCUUCCAUGCCCUAUGGCACAGAACUCUGGGGUUUCAAUCAAGGCAUUGAUUCUUUUACAAAAAAAAAAGCCCCAAAACUCCUUAAAUAAAAAUACAAUUUAUAGUUUUAAUUUCCAUAAUGGAAUGUUUAAAUGGGCACUUACAGUUUGCUUCAAUCAAUAUCAGAAUGUAUCUAUAUCCUAUGUUGUUGGAAUAGAUAAAAUGGUUGUGAGGCCUGCCUACCCCAAGCCGUUUCCUUCUCUGAUAAGAUGGAGGAAAAGUAACGCCAACAUUUUGGCAUAGUAACCAGACAGAAUUCCUUUGAUAUUCAUGUUAUGCAUACGUGCUCCCUUCAUCCCAUUUCUGUUGAUAAAUAAAAGGAAGGCGACAAAGGGAAAAACACGUGCUCAGAUAGGUGCUUUGUCAGAUAACCAGGUCUGUUUUCCGAUUGAGAUAAAGCUCAUUCUUCCCAGAAUUUCCACCAUAUUGCCUUCUGUAAUUUCUGAAUAAAGCAAAUAUGACUCAUACACAUAAGAUAUUAUAGUUCACAUUUUUUUGUUACACAACUUUCUUGAUAAAGAAAGCAGUACAUUGUCUCACAUUCUGUUGCAAUUUUCUUAUUCCCAUUUCCAACCACUCAGGGGUUUUACUUAGAAGAGCAGUGAUAACGUACUUCUGGAUGAGGUAGGUUCCAUGGUCAGAAAUGCCCCCCUGCCCCAGCAAGUCAGUGAUACCUACACCUGAGAUGAAAAUAACAAGAAUGGGACUGUCAUGCCAAUAUCUGAGAAAGAACAUUCUAGGCUAGUGCAAAGACCUCAGGGCAAAAAAUAAGCUUAUUGUGUUUGAGGAAAAGAUUGGAGUUUAGAAAAGAUAGCGCCUGCCACAAGAGAUGAAGUUGAACCAUGCAAGGUCUCCUGAAUGUUAGGACUUUGCAUUUUAUUCUAGAAUCUUCAGUGGACAGCUUUUUAGGAGGGAAAAAGGCAGAAUAAUGUGAUUUUACUUCGAUUUUAAAAGAUCAUUCUGUUGUGUGGCAAAUGGAUUCGGGGGAAAGGUAGUCCAAACAGAAGCAGGACGACCAAUAACAAGUCUAUUAUAAUAGUCCAUGCAGGAAAUGACUGUGGCUUGAAAGUGAAUAAUAUUGGUGACGGUCCAGAUAAGAAGACGGAAUAUGCUUUGAAGAUGAAAUUAAAGCUUUUUAAUGUUUUGAUAUGGGGUGUGAAAGAAAAGAAAGAUUGGAGAAUGACUCUAAGAUUUCAGGUAGAUUCACUGGGUUUACUAUGGUGCAGUGAGAUAGGGAAGCUCAGGAAGUGGAACAAGUUAACUAGUGUAAUGUUCUGUUCUGGACAUGGCCUAUAUUGAAAGCAGCCCCAUACUCCUUAGGAUAAAUCACUGGAUCUUCAUGUCUGAUCCAAGAUUAUCUCUCCAACCAUAUCUUUAGUUAUCCCAACAAACACAAUAAAUCCCAUUUUCCAAAACAAACCAUUUCCCUUUGUUCAAACUGACUACAUCUGUGUACUUUCCUAAUGAAGUACACAUCCUGUAAGCCUUAAGUACAUACCUCAGUUUCUUUCUAUUGUUUUCCUUGACCCUUUUCAAGCACAAUUGCCUCUCCCCCAGCAGUACUACUUCCUUUAUUCAUACUUUUUAGUGGAAGGUGUCACACUGAUAUUCUCGUCAACCCUACCAUGAGUUCCUCAAGGGUGAGUCUAUCUCCAAUUCAUAUUAAGACUCCUGGAAACCAGCCAAGUGCAUAAAUUCUCACUAAAGACAAAUUUUCAUAUGCACUCAUGCUGAAAAAUGGCUCAUGAGCAGUAUUUUCAUACUCACCCACAUACAUAUAAAUAGCAAUCACUCUCUCCAGAUAUAUCUUCAAGUUUGAAGGACAAAGGAGUAUUUGGAAAAUCAAAGGUUAAACUUGAAAAAUUAAUAGCAAAAAUAUGACCUUUUAAAAAAGACAAUCUCUUUUUAAGUGUAUUUUCAUGUUUGCUGUAAAAACAUUUCAUUUUGGAUUCGGAAGAAAAAGUGUCUUAAUUUCUACUUUUUUUUUUUGGUAGUAAAUAUUGCAUGAAGGAACACAUUAUUUCCAUACUAAAUUGACACAUUUAUAAUUAAACCAAAAUGGUUUCCUUACAAGUUGCAGAUAGGGGUUAAGAACCUGACAGUGAUUCAGGGACUAGGAAGCAAUGAUAGCAGUGAGUCUGGCUCACCAUAGGACCCAUUGCAGAGAAGGAUGAGUGCCAGUUGAAUGAGUAUGUGCUCUCUCUUUGCUUCUUUUUACAACCGUGGGGGUCUGCCAAAAAUCUGUAAAUUGCUGGCCAGCAGGCAAAGCCAAUCCAAGCACCUGUGUUGCAAAAUGCAGCAAUUGUGUGAUUGUCAUUACUGAUCCAUCUGUGAGGCUGGUACUUGCCACAUGUCAGUUGACUCACAUAAGGUGGGUUGGAAGAGAAAUUCCAUUAGAUAAGGAAGACAGCAAAAUUAAUAUAUCAUCUGUUCUUCUUUAUGAUUGAAAAAAUGUAGCAAGCAUGAUGGAAAGUGAGAAUUUUGUAAAUGAUUUGAACAGAUUAGUAAUGGCUAUUACAUGACAAAUGGGAAAACUUUAAUUCAAAAAGAAAAAAAUAAUAUUAUAUAAUUUUAGGAAGAAAGUCUUUACUUUCUCUAAUGACUCACUGCACACAAAUGGAGUACCAGAGUUGUUAGUCCAGAAUAGAGGUAAAAGAAUGAUGUCUUACCAAAGACUAUAAAGCACCAGGUAAGGUUCAUUAUCUUAGAUUCUUAAAUAACAAAAUCUCAAUUACCAAGUCUCAAAAAAUCCAGACUUUGUGGUGUCAGAACCUGUCUAAGCUGAAGAUAGGAUUGCAUUAUCAAUGAAAAAGGGCAUAAUAAAAAUACCAAUAAUAUUAAAAAUUAUUCAAGGGAAAAUGUUGAAACUUCUUUUGAGUAUAAAUGAUUUUUGCAGUUUGCUCUGUAAAUAUGCUGGCAGUGUACAAAUCAAAAGUAACAUACUAAUAGAAAUUAUCUCUUAUGCUGACUGGGCAUAUGGCAUAUACUGGAUGAGGUGCUAUGAGCAUGUUAUGUUACUUCUUUUAAAGCUGUUCAGGUUUAAGUACUAAGGCUCAAAGAUGUUGCCUAUCUUAACCAUUCAACAAAAUGACCUGUUUAAUAUUUCUUAAGAUGAGUUUUAUUUCCUUUAUAUGAUUUUUAUGGCACUAUUCAUGGUGAUGCCUAUUAGGCAGUACUUGAUAAACACCUCAGUCCCCAAACUACUGAGAGAGUACAAUCCAAUAAUAUUGUAUUAUGAAAUACAUGUACAAUAUUGUAGUAGCUGAGAAAAUCAAUAGAACAUAAAAUACCCAUGGAAUAGGUCAAUGAGAAAUCUGAAGGAUAAAAACAAAUAUUUGUCAUGAUAAGGUGCAAGUGGGAAAUGAUAAAUUUGGAUUUUAAGAAGCUGAGUUUCUGGCCCGAUCUAUUAAAUGACAAAGAUAAUACAUACUUCCCAUACAUUUGCUUUAGUCUCUCCAACUUUUUAAAGGGCAUUUAUUAAAGCAAAUUCUAGAGAAAUGUACACCAAAUAUCUCUGAGUAUUGAGGAAACAGAUAAUUUAUAUUUUCAGAUUUUGCUCCUGUGGAUUUCUGAAAGACAUAAUUAUUCAUUGUGGAAUUAAAAACUUGAAAGGCAUAACUAAGAUGACCCAUUGUAAACAGCAAGUAUGGUACACACUGAACUUAGAAACUUCAAAGAGACAGAGAGGAAGAAAGGCAAAGAGAGAGAGAGAGGAAGAGAGAAAAAGAAUCCCAAGCAGUCUCUGUGUCCUCAGCACAGAGCUGGAACUCAUGAACCAGGAGAUCAUGACCUGAGCGGAAACCUGGAGUCGGACACUUAACUAACUGAGGUAUCGAGGAACCACAGAUCUUUUCUCAUCCUUUUACUUUCCUGUGUUAUAAUAAAACUUAAUGUUUUCUGAA
Felis catus (domestic cat) is the source of this 5507-nucleotide long non-coding RNA. RefSeq lists it as uncharacterized. Lineage: Eukaryota; Metazoa; Chordata; Mammalia; Carnivora; Felidae. The record is from RefSeq and is a predicted model, not a curated record. The transcript has 2 exons.